AUGCAGGACUCAGUGAAGAAUGAUAUUAUCGGACCUUUGCACGUAACGCAGGGCAUCAAGUUGCUGACGGCUGAGUUUUGGUGGCGUGCGUAUCCCGGAGUGCAGACGUACUAUGAAAGACUAUAUUCCCUGCAGAGGGAUCUGGCGUGCGCGCUGCGCGCAUCGUCCGCCUGUGUCUCCGCAGCUGCUCCUGCCGCUGUUUCAUCGCCUCACGUUCCCGUUCCUGUCCCCGUUUCAUCGGCUCCAGUCCAAGCCCCAGAUGCUGCCAUCUCUGCCCGCCCCGCGGACCCAGUCAGGGAAACCCAGCCCGCGCCGCUCCCAGCGCCUCAGCUGACAGACAGUCGCAAGCGCCCCGGACGACGUCGGCGAGGGCACGGUUCCAGGGUCCUAGUUCCAGAGAUCGCGGUCACGGCCCCCGAACGACUCCCCUCCCAGGCGGAGGGUCUCUCCGGUCCGCUGGCUGACUCUGCCACACCGAUAGCUGGAAUCCCGGACAGCACCGUCCAGCGCAUCCGUCUCCACUGUUCUCCUCCGGUGUUAUUCCUUUUCACUCACUUCAUGAACACCAUCGAAGCGACAUCAGACCAGAACACCAGGAAACAGUUGUUUGGGGAGGCAGCAGCGCUAAUCCUGAGGGAACCUGCCCUGCGUGAGGCCCUGCAACUCCCAGGCCUGCAGCCAGCAGCCACACCAGGUCCUACUUCUCAGUCAGGUCAGUCAAGCCACGCUCAGUCUCCAGUCCCAGUUCAGUCGUGUUCUGCUCAGGCUCCAGCCCUAGUUCAGCCGUGCUCUGUUCAGUCUCCAGUCCCAGUUCAGUCAUGCUCCGUUCAGGUUCCAGCUCAGCCUUGUCACGCUCAGAGUCCAGUUCAGUCCUGCCACGCUCAGAGUCUGGUUCAGUCCUGCCACGCUCAGAGUCUGGUUCAGUCCUGCCACGCUCAGAGUCCGGUUCAGUCCUGCCACGUUCAGGGUCCGGUUCAGUCGAGUCACGUUCAGGCCUUGUCCCAGCCAGAGGGCACCACCUGUUAA
Molecule: long non-coding RNA, 1026 nt
Filed under: Betta splendens (Siamese fighting fish)
Lineage: Eukaryota; Metazoa; Chordata; Actinopteri; Anabantiformes; Osphronemidae
Description: lncRNA (ENSBSLG00000024280.1)
Source: RNAcentral